UAGGGAAUCUUCCGCAAUGGACGCAAGUCUGACGGAGCAACGCCGCGUGAGUGAAGAAGGUUUUCGGAUCGUAAAACUCUGUUGUUAGAGAAGAACAAGUGCUAGAGUAACUGUUAGCGCCUUGACGGUAUCUAACCAGAAAGCCACGGCUAACUACGUGCCAGCAGCCGCGGUAAUACGUAGGUGGCAAGCGUUGUCCGGAUUUAUUGGGCGUAAAGCGAGCGCAGGCGGUUCCUUAAGUCUGAUGUGAAAGCCCCCGGCUCAACCGGGGAGGGUCAUUGGAAACUGGGGAACUUGAGUGCAGAAGAGGAGAGUGGAAUUCCAUGUGUAGCGGUGAAAUGCGUAGAUAUAUGGAGGAACACCAGUGGCGAAGGCGACUCUCUGGUCUGUAACUGACGCUGAGGCUCGAAAGCGUGGGUAGCAAACAGGAUUAGAUACCCUGGUAGUCCACGCCGUAAACGAUGAGUGCUAAGUGUUGGAGGGUUUCCGCCCUUCAGUGCUGCAGUUAACGCAUUAAGCACUCCGCCUGGGGAGUACGACCGCAAAGGUUG
RNAcentral lists this ribosomal RNA (551 nucleotides) under uncultured bacterium. Its description in RNAcentral is "bacterial SSU rRNA". It matches the Rfam family "Bacterial small subunit ribosomal RNA", at positions 355 to 896 of the family's 1533-position model. The record is from RNAcentral.